This 496-nucleotide ribosomal RNA is filed under the name uncultured bacterium. Its description in RNAcentral is "partial 16S ribosomal RNA". It matches the Rfam family "Bacterial small subunit ribosomal RNA", at positions 28 to 506 of the family's 1533-position model. The record is from RNAcentral.
GAUGAACGCUGGCGGCGUGCCUAAUACAUGCAAGUCGAGCGAACAGACGAGGAGCUUGCUCCUCUGACGUUAGCGGCGGACGGGUGAGUAACAUGUGGAUAACCUACCUAUAAGACUGGGAUAACUUCGGGAAACCGGAGCUAAUACCGGAUAAUAUAUUGAACCGCAUGGUUCAAUAGUGAAAGACGGUUUUGCUGUCACUUAUAGAUGGAUCCGCGCCGCAUUAGCUAGUUGGUAAGGUAACGGCUUACCAAGGCAACGAUGCGUAGCCGACCUGAGAGGGUGAUCGGCCACACUGGAACUGAGACACGGUCCAGACUCCUACGGGAGGCAGCAGUAGGGAAUCUUCCGCAAUGGGCGAAAGCCUGACGGAGCAACGCCGCGUGAGUGAUGAAGGUCUUCGGAUCGUAAAACUCUGUUAUUAGGGAAGAACAAAUGUGUAAGUAACUAUGCACGUCUUGACGGUACCUAAUCAGAAAGCCACGGCUAACUACGU